UGAAAUAGCUUACUUUUAGCCAGCAAUGUCUUGGUAUAAUUUCUGAACAAGUAAAAACAGACUUCCGGAAAAAAUUGUGCUACAAAAAAAACAAAUCUUUCUUAAUCACUUGCAACAAAUUCACCGAUUUUAUAGCCCCAAUGUCCUUAUCUCCUAAAUUCACUAUUAUUAAAUCUGGAUAGGGAAAAAUUAAUAAACGUUGUUGCAAUAUUUCCAAUAACUGAGACCACUUAGCACCACGGCUGCCUUUCCAAAAUACAUUAACUGAAGUGCUCUUCAAACCCAGAUUUUCACAGAUUUUUGUGUGCUCCUUCUGGGCCCAAACUACAAACGAGUAACCAAUAACCCAGGCAAUCGCCUUAUCACCUAACAGAAAGAGAGAUAUACGUAUAUGCACCAAUUUUAUGAAACACCAAACUUUAUGAAACACCUCCCUCUCCUGGAACUGCUGGGGGGCCACACCUCCCUGGGCAAGCCCGCCUUCUUUCGAGACCAGCGUCUCCUGCGCUGUCCACUCCUCUCACGCCGUUCCCCACCACCAACCAAAGUGCAACCAGCCCGGCCCACCUGCCUUGCCAGGAACCCAUAUCGACCGCAUCCAAGGGCCCCAGGGCAGUGCCUCCCUGCCUUGCGCGCCUACUCCUGCGCGGCGCGGCUGACUGCGACUCAGCCCUCCCUGAGAUGCCCUGAGGGGACCCAGAAAAUGCAAGGUGGUGACUCUGUUCCUGCGCCCCCCCUCACUGGCACCCCUGCCGAACCAUCAAGACUCCUUAGGCCAUCCUCCCGACUGCCCCCUAAGCCACUAUCCCAAAGGGCCCCAGCUCAGUCCCAGUGACACCCCUAGCGGAGGAGGGGCCCACUGCCAAAACCCCCGGGCAGAGCUUGUCCCCGGGCCCUGAGACGUCCCUGAAGGCCCCAUGGUCCUCUUGAGCUGCAUCAACCCCACCAGGGGGACCAGCUGCCCCACACCCACCAAGGUCACUUGCCUGCUUGUGGGAUGCUCCUCCAGCAACACUGCUCCUGGUCCUCCUGGCAACAGCAGGCUCACUGUGCCAUCUCCCACUGCCAGGGGCCACCCUCCCGGUGGGCGGCACCAUGAUCAGCAGUCCUGGGCUCCCACUGCCGGUUGCAGUAGAGCCCGUGCCCAGCCUGGCUUCCCCUGACUGGGGAGCCGCACUGCCGAGAUCCUGGCCAUGCGGCCACCUGCUCCCGUGCCCCCGGCUAUCCAUGGCAUCACCAGGGGCAGGACACCAUCUCCGAGUCCCAUGUUAGGGCCUCCAACCUCAAGGCUCUGAGCUACCGACCCCACCGGCGGGUCUGACAUCCUGGCCAGGGCUAAGCCCCCGCGCUGGGCGGCUGGUCCCGCCACCGUUCCGGAACCCGCCAGUGUCAGUCCCAGGAGCUCCUGCACCCAUGCCACUCCACGAUACGGCACCGCCGCUCUCACCUCCGCUAGGAGCUGCUCCAUUGGAUCUAUCCUCUGGGCCUUGAACCUGCAGAAAAAAAAAACCUGAAAAAAACCUAUCAGGCCCAAGCUGCAGGCAGGAGUUGCACACAACUUAGGCCAGGUAAUAAGAUUAAAAGUGCCUAAUUCUAAAAUGGC
This 1603-nucleotide long non-coding RNA is filed under the name Pelobates cultripes (western spadefoot toad). Lineage: Eukaryota; Metazoa; Chordata; Amphibia; Anura; Pelobatidae. The record is from RNAcentral.